AUCCCUUUUAGCUUAAGGUAAAAAGCAUGGGUUUGAAGAGCCUGGGAUUCUUGAGGGAGAG
Molecule: transfer RNA, 61 nt
Filed under: Trichinella patagoniensis
Lineage: Eukaryota; Metazoa; Nematoda; Enoplea; Trichinellida; Trichinellidae
Description: tRNA-Phe
Source: RNAcentral